UAAAACGUAGGGUGCAAGCGUUAUCCGGAUUUAUUGGGCGUAAAGAGUAUCGUAGGCGGUGGAAUAAGUAGUGAGUUAAAGCCUUCAGCUCAACUGGAGAAAUGCUUACUAAACUGUUUCACUUGAGGUUACUAGAGGAUAUUGGAAUUCCUGGUGGAGGGGUGAAAUCCAUUGAUAUCAGGAAGAACACCGAGGGCGAAGGCAGAUAUCUGGGGUAAUUCUGACGCUGAUGAACGAAAGCUAGGGUAGCAAAAGGGAUUAGAGACCCCUGUAGUCCUAGCCGUAAACGAUGGGCGCUAGAUGGUCGAGUCUAACUUGACUAUCGUAAGCUAACGCGUUAAGCGCCCCGCCUGGGGAGUACGGCCGCAAGGCUA
RNAcentral lists this ribosomal RNA (374 nucleotides) under uncultured bacterium. RNAcentral's name for it is "bacterial SSU rRNA". It matches the Rfam family "Bacterial small subunit ribosomal RNA", at positions 521 to 896 of the family's 1533-position model. The record is from RNAcentral.